GCAUUGGUACCUUUCAGGGCCGACACCCACCGAAGUUGGUCGGAUUAAGUUGACACUCGAGCCUAAAGCGGUUUUUCCUUCACGUUUUUUUUUUUUCUGUUUUCGGGAAACGAGACCGGUCAGCGCCAUCAUCGUCAUAGCGCACGGCAGCAUUACUGGUCCCCGGAAUCCCGCAGUUGUUUGCAACGUAUUUUUAUCAAUUUCCGCCAGUGAUCCCGAAAAAUGAACACUUCCGCCCGGUGAAUCCCGUGUGUCCCGCUAUCUCUGGUGGGUUGUAUAUAUAUAUUUUUAUCUCGACCAAACAAUAUUCUAAAAAAAAAAAAACCAACUACGAACAAACAUAAAAGUAUAUAGGUACCGACCCAUAUAGUUUUCCUGCCUCCCUUCUCUGUUCCUAGAUACUAUAUUGUCGACCACAUUAUUUUCACACGAGUAUUAUUAUUAUUAAACAAUACAGGUUGAUAGUUUUUAGUUUU
Molecule: non-coding RNA, 476 nt
Organism: Cinara cedri
Lineage: Eukaryota; Metazoa; Arthropoda; Insecta; Hemiptera; Aphididae
Source: the annotation of a GenBank genome assembly